Small nuclear RNA from Chlorocebus sabaeus (green monkey), 104 nucleotides. NCBI's taxonomy places the organism in Eukaryota, Metazoa, Chordata, Mammalia, Primates, Cercopithecidae. The record is from Ensembl.
GUGCUCGCUUCACCAGCACAUAUACUAAAAUUGAAACGAUAGAGAAAUUAGCAUGGCCCCUGAGCAAGAGACACCCUUUCCCUUCUGAGCCUGCUUAAAAAAAA